GGGGCUGUAGCUCAGAUGGAUAGAGCGGAGGUUUCCUAAACCUUAGGCCGGGGGUUCGACUCCCUCCAGCCCCACCA
This 77-nucleotide transfer RNA is filed under the name Terriglobia bacterium. RNAcentral's name for it is "tRNA-Arg". It matches the Rfam family "tRNA". From Rfam's summary of the family: Transfer RNA (tRNA) molecules are approximately 80 nucleotides in length. Their secondary structure includes four short double-helical elements and three loops (D, anti-codon, and T loops). The record is from RNAcentral. Lineage: Bacteria; Pseudomonadati; Acidobacteriota; Terriglobia. RNAcentral also lists the same sequence under 1 other name.